RNAcentral lists this ribosomal RNA (253 nucleotides) under uncultured bacterium. Its description in RNAcentral is "partial 16S ribosomal RNA". It matches the Rfam family "Bacterial small subunit ribosomal RNA", at positions 524 to 776 of the family's 1533-position model. The record is from RNAcentral.
UACGGAGGGUGCGAGCGUUGUCCGGAAUCACUGGGCGUAAAGGGCGCGUAGGCGGCGCGGUAAGCGUGCGGUGAAAGCCCGGGGCUCAACCCCGGGUCGGCCGUGCGGACUGCCGGGCUCGAGCACUGUAGAGGCGGGUGGAAUUCCGGGUGUAGCGGUGGAAUGCGUAGAGAUCGGGAAGAACAUCGGUGGCGAAGGCGCUCUACUGGACCACAACUGACACUCAGAGACGAAAGCUAGGGGAGCGAAUGGG